Molecule: ribosomal RNA, 252 nt
Filed under: uncultured bacterium
Lineage: Bacteria
Description: partial 16S ribosomal RNA
Rfam family: Bacterial small subunit ribosomal RNA
Source: RNAcentral
UACGUAGGUGGCAAGCGUUAUCCGGAAUUAUUGGGCGUAAAGCGCGCGUAGGCGGUUUUUAAGUCUGAUGUGAAAGCCCACGGCUCAACCGUGGAGGGUCAUUGGAAACUGGAAAACUUGAGUGCAGAAGAGGAAAGUGGAAUUCCAUGUGUAGCGGUGAAAUGCGCAGAGAUAUGGAGGAACACCAGUGGCGAAGGCGACUUUCUGGUCUGUAACUGACGCUGAUGUGCGAAAGCGUGGGGAUCAAACAGG